CUCUACAAAACAAUACUUAAAGAAAAAUUGUGACAUACCUUCAUAUGUUUGUUAUCAUCAAAACCAACUAUAGGAGUGUGGGCAUAUCCCUAACAGCUCAGGCAUGGAGGGGCCUAUUCUUUUUAGACUUAUGUAUUGUCAAGGGAAGGUGGCUGAUUUGGUAAUUGCAAUCGCCCUGCCCGAAGUUCAUAUUUUACAAGUGUAUAUAGCAUUUCUCUCCACCUGGGUAAAAGGAGGUAGAUCCUUUUGCUUACACAUUGUCUCCCCCUCUCCCUAAAUUGAUUUUUUUUAGGAUGGCUAUCUCAGCCUGGGUCUCUCACCCUCAAGUGGUCUCAACUAUCCCAUUUGAUGAAACGAACCUAUCUCAGGUUUAGGGGUAAGCGUUGCUAACAAAUAACUUUUCAUUCAUUGUGUAAAGCCUUUACAAAAGAUCCAUUCCUCUUAUAUAGGCUCUCAAACUGAAUUACAAUUAGAGAACUUCUAAAUUAGGAAACCUCUUGAAAAUUGAAACUAAGACUUAAAACUAAUCUUUUCUAAAACCCAACUACUUGAAAAUCUGGUAAACAUAAAAAUAGAAACUUCUACUAGUCUAAUAUUUCCUAACAAAUAAAACUAACUUGUCAACCAAGACAAAACCAAAAAGGAACAACAAAUAUAUUGGCCAAAUCUACUUAUAUCGAUGGGCUGUAGGAGGUUUCUUCUCGAGCUUUCUUCCUUCCAAUUUGAGGGGACAACCUGCUGGCCUGCUAGAAGGACCAUAUGAGGCACCAACACUAUUCACGUGAACAGUGUUAAUGGUGGUUGUUCACGUGAACAGUAAUUCCUGUUCACUCUCUUCUUCCUCAUGCUUUGACCUAAAUCAGUGUUGUUUGUAAGUAGGAAAAUGGGGGACUUCAGUUGGGUCCCUCCUGAUUGGAUGUGGUGCCGUGGAGCAGUGUUGAAUAUAGGUGAUACAACUCUAUUUUCUGGAUGUUGUCUUGGCUCAGUUAGAUACAAUUACCACUUUCAAUUUUAGUAGUCUAGACAUUUGGUUAGUUGGAAAUGGGUCAGGAUGAGUUGAUCUUGGAGCCAGAAUUUGAUGGCAAAUUUUCAUUUGAAAAUACACAGGUUAUUAUUAGGGCUACUGUUGGGAUUAAUCUUCGUACCACGGAUUUGCUUUUUCUAUGGAGAUUCAUGCGUGUUCAUGCCAAUGGAUUUGGCUAUUGUCAGGCUGAUGGGAUUGAUGCUUUUUGAAAAGUUACUUGUUGCUGCUGCCGCUAGCUUCUAUGGUUUCUCUGUGUGUCUGAUCACAGAACAAGGGAUUGGUGUUUGAUCCAGUCGACACUCUGCGGCGAGAAGUCCGGGUGGAUUACUAUUAUUUCUGGUUUUCUUUAUUGGGUUAUCUUCUCCAGCAGAACAGGUCUGCACCAAGCCCAAAGCAACCCAAUCUGAGCCUAGCUUUGAUUUAUUUUAGGAGGUAUGCUUUUAAUAAUUUUUGCUGAGUUGGCUUCAAAUGAGCUUACCUUCCUAGACCUUGGGUUGGUUUGGGUCAUCCCUCCAGCCUGACCAACUCACAUGCCCAAUUCUCGAUAGAAUCUAUGAUCAAUUUCCAGUUAACGGUUUUACCGGAAAUAAGUUUGACAUAGGAAGUGUAAAUUUGUUCUUAACUUCAAACAACAACAAAAACAACAACAACAACAACAACAAAGCUUUGCAUUAUCCCGACUAAAUGGGAACGGCUACAUGGAUCUGCAAGUAUUUGAAAAAAAAAAAAACUUUGGGACAUCCCACUCACGAACAAUCGGCAACUCGGAUCCUAGCCCUCCAGGCAGCUCUGUUAGAUGCCAUUUCCUGUUAACCUGAUAGAGGCUUAUCUAGUGUAAACACUUGACUUCAAAGUGUAGAUUUAUUUGAUGCUUACAGAAGUCCAAUUGAUACCUGUGAAUCAGAAAUCCAGCUUCUAAGGGGAGGAGUCCGUGUAAAACUGGUUCUUAGAGGUCAUGGAAUAUGGGAAGUUAACACAUCCAAUGCAUUUGUGCAGGUUGAAGGCAUAAAUAGAUGUGGAUUUUGAUUCAAAGACUUAUGCUUUAACAUGGGCCUGUAUAUGAUCUUGAUGAUAAUGAACCAGAUGGUCCUCCUCUGAUUAUGAUCUGCGCUAAUAAUGAAAUAUACAUUGCUGUUCAAACUACUCGAUUGAGAUCCCAAUGUGCUUGGCGUUGUGCUUGUCCACUUCUUUGUUGAAGCUCUGAUGCAAGCUCCAGUUCGCCAAUUUGCUCUCUACCCUAUGAGGAAAUCGCUGGCCAUACAGUUUGUUAAUUUAUUGAAGGGCCUUUUCUACAUCUGGAACAAGUGUUUUCCUGAGGACCUUACUGUAAUUUCAAACUUUUUCUGGUUCAUGUAAAAUUGCAAUAUUAUCACUUAAAUGUGCAAUAUUGACCAUUUUAUGUC
Macadamia integrifolia is the source of this 2427-nucleotide RNA transcript. RefSeq lists it as uncharacterized. The record is from RefSeq and is a predicted model, not a curated record. The transcript is spliced from 3 exons. NCBI's taxonomy places the organism in Eukaryota, Viridiplantae, Streptophyta, Magnoliopsida, Proteales, Proteaceae.